This is a long non-coding RNA of Felis catus (domestic cat), 425 nucleotides long. RefSeq lists it as uncharacterized. NCBI's taxonomy places the organism in Eukaryota, Metazoa, Chordata, Mammalia, Carnivora, Felidae. The record is from RefSeq and is a predicted model, not a curated record. The transcript is spliced from 3 exons.
UCUACAGUUAAAUUGUGCUAAUUUGCCAUCCUCCAAAAUUAAGGUAGAAGAAUACCUUAAAUAGUCUUUGUUUUGAAUCUACAAUCUCUUCAUUAGAAACAUCUACAAAUGCAGUAAAUUGAUCAAUGGCAUGGUUAUCCUCUCAUACAAAGGAGAUACAUCCACAUUGUCAGUGUCAACACUGAGGAAGAAAUGGAGCAGCCAACUGUUCAACUGAUCAGAGUAUUUAAUCCACUAAUCAAAGAGAGCGACACAUUUAGGGGAGAGGAUCUUCCUAUUAUAAAUACCCUAUAUGCAUUUUUGAAGGUGCUUAAAUAAUUUUAUUUGAAGGAUAUAUAUAUGAACAUAAAUUUUAGCCUAUAUGACUUGAUGUGUGCCAUAUAAGUGCACACUGGAGAUAACAUAUUCCCUAUUAUUUUUAUAUU